CCUACGGGAGGCUGCAGUGGGGAAUAUUGCACAAUGGGGGGAACCCUGAUGCAGCGACGCCGCGUGAGUGAAGAAGUAUUUCGGUACGUAAAGCUCUAUCAGCAGGGAAGAAAAAAGGACGGUACCUGAGUAAGAAGCCCCGGCUAACUACGUGCCAGCAGCCGCGGUAAUACGUAGGGGGCAAGCGUUAUCCGGAAUUACUGGGUGUUAAGGGAGGGUAGACGGCAAUGCAAGUCCGGAGUGGAAUGCGGCGGCUAAACUGCCGAAAUGCUCUGGACACGGUAUGGCGGGAGUGCAGGAGGGGUAAGCGGAAUUCGUGGUGUAGCGGUGAAAUGCGUAGAUAUCAGGAGGAACACCGGUGGCGAAGGGGGCUGAAUGGAGUGUAACGGACGUUGAGGCUCGAAAGCGUGGGGAGCAAACAGGAUUAGAUACCCCUGUAGUC
RNAcentral lists this ribosomal RNA (442 nucleotides) under uncultured bacterium. RNAcentral's name for it is "partial 16S ribosomal RNA". It matches the Rfam family "Bacterial small subunit ribosomal RNA", at positions 338 to 795 of the family's 1533-position model. The record is from RNAcentral.